Molecule: ribosomal RNA, 2712 nt
Filed under: Klebsiella pneumoniae
Lineage: Bacteria; Pseudomonadati; Pseudomonadota; Gammaproteobacteria; Enterobacterales; Enterobacteriaceae
Description: partial 23S ribosomal RNA
Rfam family: Bacterial large subunit ribosomal RNA
Source: RNAcentral
CCGGCGAUGUCCGAAUGGGGAAACCCAGUGCAAUUCGUUGCACUAUCGUUAACUGAAUACAUAGGUUAACGAGGCGAACCGGGGGAACUGAAACAUCUAAGUACCCCGAGGAAAAGAAAUCAACCGAGAUUCCCCCAGUAGCGGCGAGCGAACGGGGAGCAGCCCAGAGUCUGAAUCAGCUUGUGUGUUAGUGGAACGGUCUGGAAAGUCCGACGGUACAGGGUGAUAGUCCCGUACACCAAAAUGCACAGGCUGUGAACUCGAAGAGUAGGGCGGGACACGUGGUAUCCUGUCUGAAUAUGGGGGGACCAUCCUCCAAGGCUAAAUACUCCUGACUGACCGAUAGUGAACCAGUACCGUGAGGGAAAGGCGAAAAGAACCCCGGCGAGGGGAGUGAAAAAGAACCUGAAACCGUGUACGUACAAGCAGUGGGAGCACCUUCGGGUGUGACUGCGUACCUUUUGUAUAAUGGGUCAGCGACUUAUAUUCUGUAGCAAGGUUAACCGUAUAGGGGAGCCGCAGGGAAACCGAGUCUUAACUGGGCGUUAAGUUGCAGGGUAUAGACCCGAAACCCGGUGAUCUAGCCAUGGGCAGGUUGAAGGUUGGGUAACACUAACUGGAGGACCGAACCGACUAAUGUUGAAAAAUUAGCGGAUGACUUGUGGCUGGGGGUGAAAGGCCAAUCAAACCGGGAGAUAGCUGGUUCUCCCCGAAAGCUAUUUAGGUAGCGCCUCGUGAAUUCAUCUUCGGGGGUAGAGCACUGUUUCGGCUAGGGGGUCAUCCCGACUUACCAACCCGAUGCAAACUACGAAUACCGAAGAAUGUUAUCACGGGAGACACACGGCGGGUGCUAACGUCCGUCGUGAAGAGGGAAACAACCCAGACCGCCAGCUAAGGUCCCAAAGUCAUGGUUAAGUGGGAAACGAUGUGGGAAGGCACAGACAGCCAGGAUGUUGGCUUAGAAGCAGCCAUCAUUUAAAGAAAGCGUAAUAGCUCACUGGUCGAGUCGGCCUGCGCGGAAGAUGUAACGGGGCUAAACCAUGCACCGAAGCUGCGGCAGCGACACUAUGUGUUGUUGGGUAGGGGAGCGUUCUGUAAGCCUGCGAAGGUGUGCUGUGAGGCAUGCUGGAGGUAUCAGAAGUGCGAAUGCUGACAUAAGUAACGAUAAAGCGGGUGAAAAGCCCGCUCGCCGGAAGACCAAGGGUUCCUGUCCAACGUUAAUCGGGGCAGGGUGAGUCGACCCCUAAGGCGAGGCCGAAAGGCGUAGUCGAUGGGAAACAGGUUAAUAUUCCUGUACUUGGUGUUACUGCGAAGGGGGGACGGAGAAGGCUAUGUUAGCCGGGCGACGGUUGUCCCGGUUUAAGCAUGUAGGCUGGUUGUCCAGGCAAAUCCGGAUAAUCAAGGCUGAGGUGUGAUGACGAGGCACUACGGUGCUGAAGUAACAAAUGCCCUGCUUCCAGGAAAAGCCUCUAAGCAUCAGGUAACAUUAAAUCGUACCCCAAACCGACACAGGUGGUCAGGUAGAGAAUACCAAGGCGCUUGAGAGAACUCGGGUGAAGGAACUAGGCAAAAUGGUGCCGUAACUUCGGGAGAAGGCACGCUGGUGUGUAGGUGAAGUCCCUGCGGAUGGAGCUGAGACCAGUCGAAGAUACCAGCUGGCUGCAACUGUUUAUUAAAAACACAGCACUGUGCAAACACGAAAGUGGACGUAUACGGUGUGACGCCUGCCCGGUGCCGGAAGGUUAAUUGAUGGGGUUAUCCGUAAGGAGAAGCUCUUGAUCGAAGCCCCGGUAAACGGCGGCCGUAACUAUAACGGUCCUAAGGUAGCGAAAUUCCUUGUCGGGUAAGUUCCGACCUGCACGAAUGGCGUAAUGAUGGCCAGGCUGUCUCCACCCGAGACUCAGUGAAAUUGAACUCGCUGUGAAGAUGCAGUGUACCCGCGGCAAGACGGAAAGACCCCGUGAACCUUUACUAUAGCUUGACACUGAACAUUGAGCCUUGAUGUGUAGGAUAGGUGGGAGGCUUUGAAGCGUGGACGCCAGUCUGCGUGGAGCCAACCUUGAAAUACCACCCUUUAAUGUUUGAUGUUCUAACGUUGGCCCCUUACCGGGGUUGCGGACAGUGUCUGGUGGGUAGUUUGACUGGGGCGGUCUCCUCCCAAAGCGUAACGGAGGAGCACGAAGGUUAGCUAAUCCUGGUCGGACAUCAGGAGGUUAGUGCAAUGGCAUAAGCUAGCUUGACUGCGAGCGUGACGGCGCGAGCAGGUGCGAAAGCAGGUCAUAGUGAUCCGGUGGUUCUGAAUGGAAGGGCCAUCGCUCAACGGAUAAAAGGUACUCCGGGGAUAACAGGCUGAUACCGCCCAAGAGUUCAUAUCGACGGCGGUGUUUGGCACCUCGAUGUCGGCUCAUCACAUCCUGGGGCUGAAGUAGGUCCCAAGGGUAUGGCUGUUCGCCAUUUAAAGUGGUACGCGAGCUGGGUUUAGAACGUCGUGAGACAGUUCGGUCCCUAUCUGCCGUGGGCGCUGGAGAAUUGAGGGGGGCUGCUCCUAGUACGAGAGGACCGGAGUGGACGCAUCACUGGUGUUCGGGUUGUCAUGCCAAUGGCACUGCCCGGUAGCUAAAUGCGGAAGAGAUAAGUGCUGAAAGCAUCUAAGCACGAAACUUGCCCCGAGAUGAGUUCUCCCUGAGACUUUAAGUCUCCUGAAGGAACGUU